AGUUAAAUAAGCAAAUGCUGAGCGUAGUGUCUUGAAAACAUUAAGAAGAAGUUGAACUCUUCUAUUAACUU
Molecule: transfer RNA, 71 nt
Filed under: Parrhinotermes browni
Lineage: Eukaryota; Metazoa; Arthropoda; Insecta; Blattodea; Rhinotermitidae
Description: tRNA-Ser
Source: RNAcentral